Molecule: long non-coding RNA, 318 nt
Filed under: Elaeis guineensis (African oil palm)
Lineage: Eukaryota; Viridiplantae; Streptophyta; Magnoliopsida; Arecales; Arecaceae
Description: long non-coding RNA (EGUI_LNC004561)
Source: RNAcentral
AGAUAAGAGGGGAGGACUCUGGAACUUUAUUGCCUUUGGGUUGUAGACCUCUAGUCGAUGCCCCACCACUGCCUUUUCCUUCGGACUGUAAGGGCUUGAACAAUCUCCAUCACCUCUAGACUAUAAGGGCUCGAAUGAUCUCUAUCACCCACUACUGUGGUUGAGCUCCAUGGCCUCGAUAUUGUCUCCAGAAUAGUGGUGGUGCAAAGAAGAAGGAAAGGGAGGGGAACAGAAAAUCCUAACCAUGGUCUACCAUGGGGUAUGAGAUGGGUGGGAUCGAGAGAAUUGGGAAAAAGGCACGGUGUGCGGCAUAGGCCG